UUUCCGGUUGAUCCCGCCGCCGGACACCGCUAUUGGAGUUCGCUUAAGCCAUGCGAGUCGAGAGGGGUAAGCCCUCGGCGCACUGCUCAGUAACACGCGGACAAUCUGCCCUCAAGACGGGGAUAUUCCCGGGAAACUGGGGCUAAUACCCGAUAGACCUGAGAUGAUGGAAGGCUCCCAGGUCGAAAUCCUCCGGGGCUAGAGGAUGGGUCUGCGGCCUAUCAGGUUGUAGGGGGUGUCACGGACCCCCUAGCCGAAGACGGGUACGGGCCCUGGGAGGGGUAGCCCGGAGAUGGACUCUGAGACAUCAGUCCAGGCCCUACGGGGCGCAGCAGGCGCGAACACUGUGCAAUGCGCGAAAGCGCGACACGGGGAGCUUGAGUGUCUUGGCAUAGCCAAGACUUUUCUCAUUCCUAAAAAGCAUGAGGAAUAAGUGCUGGGUAAGACGGGUGUCAGCCGCCGCGGUAACACCCGCAGCACAAGUGGUGGUCACUUUUAUUGAGCCUAAAGCGUUCGUAGCCGGUUCUGUAAAUCUUCAGAUAAAUUCAUUCGCUCAACGGAUGAUCUUCUGAAGAGACUGUAGAACUUGGGACCGGGUGAGGUUGAAUGUACUUCCGGGGUAGGGGUAAAAUCCUGUAAUCCUGGAAGGACAACCGGUGGCGAAGGCGUUCAACUAGAACGGAUCCGACGGUGAGGAACGAGGGCUAAGGGAGCAAACCGGAUUAGAUACCCGGGUAGUCCUAGCUGUAAACACUGCCCACUUGGUGUUGCCUCUCUGUUGAAGGGGGGCAGUGCCGGAGCGAAGGUGUUAAGUGGGCCGCUUGGGGAGUAUGGUCGCAAGGCUGAAACUUAAAGGAAUUGGCGGGGGAGCACCACAACGGGAGGAGCGUGCGGUUUAAUUGGAGUCAACGCCGGA
This 916-nucleotide ribosomal RNA is filed under the name uncultured archaeon. RNAcentral's name for it is "bacterial SSU rRNA". It matches the Rfam family "Archaeal small subunit ribosomal RNA", at positions 1 to 922 of the family's 1478-position model. The record is from RNAcentral.